UAAAAAUCCUAAAAUAUUGAAAGGUCAAGCAUGUGACGUCAUCACGCCCCUUAGUAACCUUUUGUUUAUUGUCCAGUUUAGAAAGUACAGUAUUGCGUCAACCACCAGAUACACUGAGUGAUUCCUAGCGAUAGAAUAAUAACAGUAAUGCCGAAAAAUUGUGUUGUUGGGGGUUGCCCGAAUUCCGAUAAGAAUGAUGUUCAUUUUUUUGUGUUUCCAAAAAAUCCAAGAAUUAGACGACAGUGGAUUCGCUUCGUUCAGUUUACGAGGAAGAAUUUCGUAAGUCCAAGUGCUCACGCAAAAAUUUGUAGUGUUCACUUUGAUACAGAAAGUUACGACAUAACAUGUCAAAUGAAACGAAAGCUGGGGCUUUCCUCCGUCCUAAGACUAAAGAAAAACGCUGUCCCAACAAUAAAAAAAAGAAAAGGAAACAACGGGAAUGGAAAAUAAAAGGACGUACGCCUUAAAGCGCCAGAGAAAACAGUAUGUUGAAAACAUAUUAGAAGAUAGUAGGCAGAAAAGUGAGGAAGGUGAAAGCACACUGCCAGUACCAACAAUUGAAAAUGCAUCAUCUCAUUUAGCCUCGUUUGUUAAAGAAUAUCAGCAGAGCAGAAACUUGCAGGAUAAUUCAAAAACAUCCACUACAAAGUGCAGAAAAAAAAAAGACAAAGUCUAAACGCUCAAUGCGUGUGCAAGUUGGCUCAAAAAUGUGUACCAAAGAAACUCAAACUGACCCCCAAAUCACUGGAGUUGAUUUGCCUUUGACAGAGGUACCACCAAGUGGUAACUCAAUUUUUGAAGAACCAAUCACUGCAAUACCAGUAGGCACAUCAACUCCCAAUCAAAGCGAAGACGAGUCUUCACCUUGUGAGAGUGAUCAUCAUGUUAGCAUCUUUGAUAGAACUUUCAAUCCAGACAACACAUAUCUUUCAUCAUCAUUAAUGUAAGUUAACAAGGAAUUACAAAUAGUAGUUCUAGGAAUUAU
Long non-coding RNA from Anneissia japonica, 985 nucleotides. RefSeq lists it as uncharacterized. NCBI's taxonomy places the organism in Eukaryota, Metazoa, Echinodermata, Crinoidea, Comatulida, Comatulidae. The transcript has 4 exons. The record is from RefSeq and is a predicted model, not a curated record.